UACGAAGGGGGCUAGCGUUGUUCGGAUUUACUGGGCGUAAAGCGCGUGUAGGCGGGCUGGAAAGUUGGGGGUGAAAUCCCGGAGCUCAACUCCGGAACUGCCUCCAAAACUUCCAGCCUGGACCUAAGUAGAGGCAAGUGGAAUUGCGAGUGUAGAGGUGAAAUUCGUAGAUAUUCGCAGGAACACCAGUGGCGAAGGCGACUUGCUGGACUUAUGGUGACGCUGAGACGCGAAAGCGUGGGGAGCAAAC
This 250-nucleotide ribosomal RNA is filed under the name uncultured bacterium. RNAcentral's name for it is "partial 16S ribosomal RNA". It matches the Rfam family "Bacterial small subunit ribosomal RNA", at positions 524 to 773 of the family's 1533-position model. The record is from RNAcentral.